Hevea brasiliensis (rubber tree) is the source of this 653-nucleotide long non-coding RNA. RefSeq lists it as uncharacterized. The record is from RefSeq and is a predicted model, not a curated record. NCBI's taxonomy places the organism in Eukaryota, Viridiplantae, Streptophyta, Magnoliopsida, Malpighiales, Euphorbiaceae. The transcript is spliced from 3 exons.
UCAAAAGACACAUAUGGGAAAGUGAAGGAAUGGGUAAACAUAACUUACAAGCUCUGUAAAAAUGGAAGCCAAACUGGCUUUCUCUUCUUCUCUCAGUACCCAAAUACCUGCGCUGCCCAAUUUAUCACCAUUAUGUCCCUUUAACUUAUAGUCUUGGUUCACCAAAGAAAAGGGUUCAUCAUUUUAGAGUACAUGCACUUGGUGGAGGAGAUGGAGAACUCAAGCCAGAAGCGAAGAAGAAAUUUAUAACCAAAGAAGAAGAACCUAAACAAUAUUGGCAAACAGCAGGAGAGAGGGAAGGAGAGAAUCCCAUGAAGACGCCUCUUCCUUACAUCAUCAUAUUUGGCAUGUCAACUCCAUUUGCGAUCUUAGCCAUUGCUUUGGCUAAUGGUUGGAUUAAAGUACCAGUUAGAUGAUUUGUUUAGAGAUGCAGCAACAAUGGCAGCUAAAUGACAGUGUUGGAUUUGUUCUGUUUAUCCACUCAUUUCAGUUCUUAAGAUAUAAGCAUAUAUUUGUACACUAAUUAUGAAUGCUCAUUUUAUGCAUUCCCCAAGCAAAUUACAAUUCAAUGACAAUCAAAUCAUGAACUUUCUGUAACAAGUCACUAAGUAUGCCAAAUAUGAGCAGAUCACUCUGAAAUUUGUUUACUUCAA